This 254-nucleotide ribosomal RNA is filed under the name uncultured bacterium. Its description in RNAcentral is "partial 16S ribosomal RNA". It matches the Rfam family "Bacterial small subunit ribosomal RNA", at positions 524 to 776 of the family's 1533-position model. The record is from RNAcentral.
GACGUAGGGAGCAAGCGUUGUCCGGAUUUACUGGGCGUAAAGGGCGCGUAGGCGGUCUGUUAAGUGAGAACUGAAAUCUCCAGAGCUCAACUCGGAAACUGGUUUUCAUACUGGCAGGCUAGAGGAACGCAGAGGUGACUGGAAUUCCUGGUGUAGCGGUGAAAUGCGUUGAUAUCAGGAGGAACUCCGAUGGCGAAGGCAGGUCACUGGGCGUUAUCUGACGCUGAGGCGCGAAAGCGUGGGUAGCAAACAGG